RNAcentral lists this transfer RNA (75 nucleotides) under Sillaginopsis panijus (flathead sillago). RNAcentral describes it as "tRNA-Lys". It matches the Rfam family "tRNA". From Rfam's summary of the family: Transfer RNA (tRNA) molecules are approximately 80 nucleotides in length. Their secondary structure includes four short double-helical elements and three loops (D, anti-codon, and T loops). Lineage: Eukaryota; Metazoa; Chordata; Actinopteri; Sillaginidae. The record is from RNAcentral.
CACUAAGAAGCUAAAUAAGGUACCAGCGUUAGCCUUUUAAGCUAAAAAUUGGUGACUCCUGCCCACCCUUAGUGA